Molecule: long non-coding RNA, 548 nt
Filed under: Setaria italica (foxtail millet)
Lineage: Eukaryota; Viridiplantae; Streptophyta; Magnoliopsida; Poales; Poaceae
Description: long non-coding RNA (SITA_LNC002881)
Source: RNAcentral
UUUUUUCUGAGUAAAUGGGCAACGCCCAUAGGAAAAGCCUGUCAUCUUCCCAAUGAUUUUUUUUGGAUCUAGGUUUUCGGGAACUGUUGGGUGAUGGGUUUCUUUUUAUUCCCAAUAACUUUUGGCGAGGUCCAAAACCAGUUGUUUUGGAACUUUAUUUUUUGGGCACUUUGGAGAUAGAUGCCAAGUUUGAUCACAAACGGAACUCACGAAGUUUUUAUGCACGACAACGAAAAGUAUGAUUGUAAAUAUAUAGGAGCACGACACGACAAGGAGGAUAACCAAAACCCUUAAGUUGCUCUUUGCUUGCAUCAAGGAACCACUGACAUUCAUUCCCAUAUCUGCCAAUUAUCUGCCUGGCCCAUCUAUUCACGGGGACUAAUUUCUUAAUUUUUUUCGUUGAAUAGUGUAGCGCACUGACAUUGUUAAGGUUCAAUUAUUGCAUUACGUACGAUUGCUGUUGUGCCCAGAGAAACAAAAGUUGCUGAACGGUUGCUGUUGCGCGUCACUAAAACUAUUCUAGCGUUGUAAAUUAACCUAGCACGCUC